Molecule: long non-coding RNA, 516 nt
Organism: Astatotilapia calliptera (eastern happy)
Lineage: Eukaryota; Metazoa; Chordata; Actinopteri; Cichliformes; Cichlidae
Source: Ensembl
CAUAUUCAACAGCACGUGUUCAAGGUUUAUCAAGAGCUGUGUUCGUCGCGAACGGCACGACUUUCUGGUGUUAUACACUGUCCUGGCGUUGCAGAUCUAGGGGUUCCAGUUAAGACGUGGUCAGCCUUCUAAAGAAAGUGGGAAUCUCACCAAAAUAUUCAGUUACUUUGCUGUGUUUCUUGCCAGGACAAAGGCUCAAACCAUCAUCUUCUCCUGGUAUCGAAUACCAAGGGACCUUCUGAAGUAAGCUUUAACAAGUUACCUAAUGUCACAACCGUCUCAACUUCGAGUGAUCCUUGCAGAUCAUGAUGUCCGUAAAGUUGUACUACCAUCUGGAAUCCCAGAAACGGUGGAUGACCUUUAUUCAGCCAUCCGUGAUACCUUUUCCAUUACAAGAGACUUCUGUCUUCACUAUAAAGAUGCUGAUUUUGGUGAUGAGUUUUUUACCCUUGUUUCGACAACUGACCUUAAGGACAAGGACACAAUCAAGAUUGUGUUUCUCCAGGACCAGGAGCC